Molecule: non-coding RNA, 224 nt
Organism: Pelobates cultripes (western spadefoot toad)
Lineage: Eukaryota; Metazoa; Chordata; Amphibia; Anura; Pelobatidae
Source: the annotation of a GenBank genome assembly
GAAAUCUACAUACUCUCAUACUCUAUCAUGUGGUUUUACCACUCAAGCACUGGAUUGCACCUCUCUCGUAUUUUCCAUUCUAGAUACAAUGUAACAUACUGAACUCUCUAGCUAGCCAUAGACGAUACUAUUAUCCUUUCACAUUUUUCCGUUUCACUAUAUUGUGAUGUUUAAUAACAUAGUGUCUAUACCACAUAGCAGCAUAAUUAAAUGAAGGGGAAAAG